GAAAAAUAAAGCAAAAGAUAAUGUGCUGAUUUAAGUUUCAUCUCCUUUUCCUUAGUCUGUCCAUGUGAAUGUGCUGUGUGGAAGAGUAAAAGGGUCCAAGUAAAUGUGUUCCAGUGAUUCCAAUAGCUAUUUAGCUGGUACCUACUGCUAUAUCACGUAGUGUGAAAAAUCGGAUUUAAUGGAAUAAUGAAGCAGUGCAGCUGAAGCCUUCAUGUGGGCCUGGAAGGUCUCCAGUUUGUGCAGUCUGUCUUCUGUGAAAAUGAAUUAACCUUGUUACUGGUUGAAGGCCUUGGAAAUUUUUGCCAGCCGAGAGAUUUUUCUCUUAACUUGGGGUAAGAUUUAAUAAUAGUGUGCUAGAGCUGGAAGGGAUUUAGUUACUUAAUCAAUUGGCCUGAUUUUAUAUGUUAUUAAAGUAUGAUCAGUUGUCAUCAGUUUCCCACCUAUCCCACCCUUUAGAACAAAUGGCUGUCACAUCAUGGAACUGUUCACAUAGUUACUCAGGUCAGUUUGAAUAAUGUAGACUGCACUGAGCUUUGAUUUAUGCCAGUAACAGGAGGCAGGUGAUCUUGCGAAACUUGGUUCCCCAGUCAGUGUCCAAGGUUCUCUCUGUGGUGGUGGCCAGAUAAUUAAGAUCAAUAAAGAUCAGAACAGUGGUCCCCAACUUUUUUGGCACCAGGGACUGGUUUCGUGGAAGUCAACUGUUCACCUCCUGCUGUGCGGCCCAGUUCCUAAUAGGCCAUGAACCAGUAUUGAUCCUGGGGUUGGGGAUCCCGGAUUUUGUCUACAUGCUUGACAGUGUCACUCAUGAUACGGAUGGUAUUUGAUAAACCAUAAACACUUGUGUACCCUAAGCCGUAAGAAGGUGGGCACAGGAGGGAAAAUGGUACUUUUCUCAUGAAGUGAACUGGAGCAAGCCCUACCUCUCCUAAAAAGAGGCACAAAAUAAGAACAACGUAAGUCUUCAAGACAUCUUUCUUCCUCUAUUUAGUUAACCAUGAUGAUCAAUAGGCCCAGGAAUAAUGCUGUAAUUCUAUCCACCAGUGU
Molecule: long non-coding RNA, 1044 nt
Organism: Budorcas taxicolor (takin)
Lineage: Eukaryota; Metazoa; Chordata; Mammalia; Artiodactyla; Bovidae
Exons: 3
Source: RefSeq, a predicted model, not a curated record